This 301-nucleotide ribosomal RNA is filed under the name uncultured bacterium. Its description in RNAcentral is "partial 16S ribosomal RNA". It matches the Rfam family "Bacterial small subunit ribosomal RNA", at positions 509 to 809 of the family's 1533-position model. The record is from RNAcentral.
CAGUAGCCACGGUAAUACGAAGGGUGCAAGCGUUAAUCGGAAUUACUGGGCGUAAAGCGUGCGUAGGCGGUUUGUUAAGUCUGUUGUGAAAUCCCCGGGCUCAACCUGGGAAUGGCAAUGGAUACUGGCAAGCUAGAGUGUGUCAGAGGAUGGUGGAAUUCCCGGUGUAGCGGUGAAAUGCGUAGAGAUCGGGAGGAACAUCAGUGGCGAAGGCGGCCAUCUGGGACAACACUGACGCUGAGGCACGAAAGCGUGGGGAGCAAACAGGAUUAGAUACCCCAGUAGUCCCUGUCUCUUAUAA